This 5958-nucleotide long non-coding RNA is filed under the name Taeniopygia guttata (zebra finch). RNAcentral describes it as "lncRNA (ENSTGUG00000029153.1)". Lineage: Eukaryota; Metazoa; Chordata; Aves; Passeriformes; Estrildidae. The record is from RNAcentral.
GGAGACACUGCACCCGCUGCCUCAGCCCCCCCUGCCACAAUAUAGACACUAUUGGCUGCUAAUUGGCGCCAGUGGGCUGGUGCUAAUUGUGCUCCUGUCUUGGGCUGAGGACAGGCAUGUGAAGGAUGGAGGGGUCUGCUGGGAAUAGGAGGAGGGGAGAGCCAGGGAGACAGUGGUCAUACAAGUUGGAACAGGGCUUUAAUUUCAUAUCAAAUAUUUAAGUAAGUGAGUGGAGGAUCUGUGAACUCUCUUUGUGGUAACCCACAAAAGGCCUUGGGGAAUAGCACCCCCCUGCCUCCAGCCCGGCCAUGAGCUGUCUGAAGGCCUCUGUUGCUCUUCCUUCUUAGCUUUGUUUAAUUAAUUGGGAGAAUUGCUAAUGAUCCUUUUUUCCUCUUCAUACCUUCUCUGUUUUCUGCCAUUGCAUCUUCUUCAUUCUUUAUUUCAAAGAUUCAGCUUUUCCGAAGUCAGGGCCAUCCAAUAUUUACACAUGGAAAUUUUGGCUGAACAGAAUGACAGCUAAGGAAGAGAUCAGGCUCAUUACCCUGAAAUUGGAGACAGUCUGCUUUGUACAUGCAAGGCCAGAAUGAGCAGUGGGGACUCUGUGGUAUUGUUUCUUUGAAAUAUCCAGUCAGACUUAUGGAGGUGGAACUUUACCUGCAUCAAAUGUCAGUAAGAAGUAUGUUCAGAAAUAAUCAUUUGGGCUAUGACCACCAGUUCAUAUGUGAAUUGUACCUGCAUGCUGUCUCACUUCUAAGAUUUUAGUCUCAAAAAUGGGCAGGUAAAGUCUAAUUAAUCUGUGCUGUGCUGGAAGCAGAGCCCUGCAAGGAGUGACCUGGCUGUGAUGGUGUGCUGGUUUGGUACAUGGGACAAUGCUCUUCACUGUACCCAAUGUGAAAUGACUUUCAUGAUGCUAAGGUGCACCAGCCUUUGAUAUAUCCUGGGAACAAGCUGGCAAUGUCAAGAACUCUGCUGAGACUUCUGGCUGCCACCAUUUUUUUACAAAGUCCAGAUAUAAAUACCUGGGGAUGUCUUCCAGUUUCAUGCUUCUGUUCCUGUGGUAGCAAAGUUCAACCUCUCCUUGUUCUUGUUGUGCUCUGACCAUAAGGACCUCUUUCAAAAUGAGCAUUAAAUGUCAUUUGGAGGACAGCUUAGGGCUGCAGACUGCUGGUGUGCAGAAUUCAACUCAGGGCCAUCUGGAGACCCUCUGCUGCAGCAUCAUUAAUCCCAUGCAAGGCAGGUUGGCCAUGCUCAUUUCACAUCUACAGAUGUGCACAAAUCUAAUUAUCCAUCUCCUGUGCAAGUCUUACAGAAAAAUUGUAGCUGAGUCCUUGGAAUUUAGUGAAAAUACUUAGGAGUUUCACAGACUUUGAAGGGGUUUUUUGACUCAGUUUAGGAUUCAAGGCUAUUUGUUGGGAAGUCUGGAGGCCUUCUUACAACUUUCCUUUUAGAUCUCCUCUCGUGAGCAAGUCAGCAGUUUUCUUCCUGUAUGAUGACUGUGGGGUCUGUGGGCAGUGUGAAGUCGGUGAGCAAUGCUGGGAUCAGGUGUCCAUGUGGGAUCAGUCACACUGUGAUGCCAGCUUAACUUUAGAGUGUUGGGUUAUGUCCUCUAUAGCGGACUUUUCCCUGUUUCUUGAACCCAAAGUCUGCUUUGGGGAGAUACACCAGGUUAUUCUUUUCCUUAGUCUUGCAUCCAAACCUUUUGGGCAGCACAUGCACAGGUUGGUGUGUGCACCACAGAAAUCUCUGCCCUGGUUCUAUCCCUAGGCACUGUAUCCAGAGUCCUUUCCCAGUGACAAAGCAAUCCAGUUCUGUCUUGUAAAUGUUUUAGCAAACCACAUCCUUUCUGUAAGAGAAAAAUGAUCUUUCUUCAUUUGUAGUAUCUUUCCUAAAAUGUGCUGUACAAUCAUGUCUCUAAAAUAUAUGAGGCGAUAGAGCAACUAUAUUGAAAAAUAGCACAUACUUGGCCAGUUUUGCUAAUAAGUAAAAUAUACUGGUCUGAAUAUGACAACUGUAUGUGUUGAAAUAUAUUGAAAACAUAUUUGGAUCAUUCCACAUAGACUGAAAUAUUGAAAACUGGCCAAAUCUGUAAAAAAUUUAAGUCAGUAUUUUAUAUAUUAUAUAUUUAAAAAUCAUUUUCACAAAUAGAUAGCAAGGAACCUUGCUACGAAGAUGUGGGAAAUCCUAAUCAGGCUUUAUUUUUUCCUGAUGGGAACCAGUGAUCAUGGAUGCUAUGUCAUUACAGACACUGUGGUAAGAGUUAACCUGGCUGCUGGCUCAUAAUUUGUGUGUUGGGCCCAGCACAGGGGUCCAUUGAUCUUAAUAGAGACCACUCAAGAGCAGGGAAUUCCAACAGUAACAGCUCCCUCGGCAUUGCUGGUGCUGAUUUAAGUCCGAGCAUUUCUUCCUCUGCAGUCUCUUUGGAUUAGCCUGGGAAUGGACGGGAGAGUGGGAGUGAGAGCAGUUGUGACAGCUCUUAGAUGGAGGAGCUUGCAAUUUCUGGAGAAAUGAGAAAUUUCUGGAGGCUGAGGAUUCAAACAGUGAUAUGAGCCCAUAGACAAUGCAAUUGUCCUGGCCUUUGCAUAAAAACAAGGAUCUCCAUUUAUUGUUAGCUCCUAUUGACAUUCCUAAGCAUUCUCUAGGUAAGUCCAGAGAUGUCUGGAUACCCUGGAUCCUCUGAGAAGUGCCCUUUUGCAGCAUAACAUAGAGUUACUGUUUGAGUUUUUCUGUGUGUAUUGUUAUACCUCUGAAAGGUGUAGGGCAGGAGACCCUGGAUCCAUGGAGGAUCCAGGGCUUUCUCUCCCUGCACAUUGUAGCAGCAGUGAGAUCCCCAGUGGAGAUGGAAGCCUUUGGAUGUGCUUCUGGUUGGGGUUGGGAUGGUCUGCUUUGCUGAUGGACCUGUUACUGUCCAGGGAAUGCAUUUCUGUGAUGGUAAUUGAAGGCAAAUUAACGACCUCACUAAGUUAGAGAUGGUAAAAAGACCAUUUGAAGACAUGUGAGGAGAACUGGUUCUGUCUGAGAGUUGGUUGGUAGAACCAGCAAGGGCUUGGCUUCCUCAUCCAAGGUUAGACCAGGUCAGCAGCUGAGGGAGAUCUCACCCGGAGAGCAGCUUUUAAAGGAAGACCACUGUCCCCUGAGAUGACCUUCCUGCCUGAUUUGGAGGUGAACAGAGUUUUCUUUGAUUCUUAAAAUUGUCCAAUUCCUCUGUUAGGAAAAAGCAUUUAAUCCAAUUUGGAGUCCUAAAUCUGGCUCACUGCGUGAAUGAAUCAUGGAUGUCUCAAGCAGGAAUCAUGAAUCCUAUGAUCCUGUUGACCAGGUGAAUGUACUUCUGCCAACUACACCACAUAAAGUUUGUGCAAACAUUUAUUUGCAUGCAGAAAGCUGGAGAGAGAUCAGUUCCAGACAGAAGUGAAACUGAAAGUCAGGUAUAUCAGGGGUCCUGUAAUGAGGUGACUGAGGAGGCUUAGGAAUGUCAAAAUGGGAAUCAUGGCUGUUUUACACUUCCGAGAUCCCUUGUGCCCUGGAGAUGAGCUGCUCCGAGUAGUGCCUUUGUGUUCUGAACAGCAUCAGCUUGCUGAGAGCUGGAACACCUCAACAUCCCUAAUGAAAACAAGGAGCAAACCAGAAUUCUCCUGAAAAAUAAACAAGCCCACUUCCAUGACCCCUUCUUGACCUCCCAAUGAGGUGCUAAUUACUAAAGGAUUAGCACCUCUUCUGUAUCACAAUGCACUCAGCCAAGGAACAGGAGGUGACAACACUCAGCACAAAAUGCAAAUCCAGAAGAAUUAGUCCAAGGGCAAGAGACCAAAGUUAAAGACAGAGAAACCUUCUCCACUGCAAGUUCAACCUGUUGUCAGAGAAACGAGCUAAAUUACCACCUUUUGGAGGAGUUAGGCAGGAAUGGAAUAUUUUUUCCCUCUUCAUGGUAGGUAAAUAUGCAGCUUUUCUUAAUUUGGCUUCACAGUUCAACAGAGAUAAUUUUUUUCAGUGUGGCUGCAGUGACAGCAAUAUGAAAAAGGGCUUAUUAAAAAUUAAUUGCACCAGCAGAAGUAUCUCCAUGUAUCUGUGUCUGUGUUGAAACGCCAUCCCUGUUGCACCAUAUCCAGUGGCUCACUGAUAAACUGGAAUGAAAACUGUAGGAAUUAGUGGUUGCAAAGGAAGCCCUGCAGAGAUGUGUGUGAUCUGUCCUGUCAGGCUGUGUGAGAUGAUCUCACAAGCUUCAAUGCCUGUAUUUGUCACAUCAAAUGGAUAAAGUCUUUCUGUGGUGGCUACUGUGGUCUUUAUGUGGAGAUUUUCACCUCUUUGAUCCAGUAUGAGAUGGGAAAUAAAUCCAAAUGGGAAAUAAAUUGCUUUUGUAUAAGGCAUAUUGGCAUAAGGCUUUGUAUUGUUUUUAUUUUUGGUAGGAAGUAUUUAUUGUAAAAGGGAGUGACUUAAACUGUUUCUAAAGAUCAAAGGGAACUUGGCCCAAGGGAAAGAAUUUCUGAGGUGUGGAACAGCCCAGUCUGGCCACCUUGGCCACCUGGAAGGUUUGAAAUCAAAGCCUUUGCUACCAGGUACUGGAUGAGACUGGAACAGACAAGCACAACCCUCCUUGGGAGCAAACUGGCACAACUGUCUCCUAAAAUAGGUGACAGUCCAGAACUUUCCUGAGGGAGAGAAUACAAGCUGUAAACCAGAGUCUUCUGGAGCUCAAGAACCUCUCCUGUGCAGCAGCUUUACAGCUAUUCCGAGUUUGGGUAUUUUUUUUCCUGAGUGGAAGUUCGCUCGUGAGCCUGAGAAUGCUGCUCUCAUUACAUUUUUUUCCGAUGAUGCUUCAUUCUUGGAAAGGGGAAAGUUUCUGGUUUGGAUAAUUGAAUUUUCCAAUAGAAGAUCUCAUCACUAAAUUCCUGACCAGCUCCCCACUGACCGGCUGUUUUGCCUCUACCCACUUUUUCAGUUUUCUUAGAUGUGAACAUGAGCUGCUUAUACAGCAGCCCAGAGAGCUCCCUUUGGAUGAAAUACAUCCUACUCAGUAGUUAAACUAUUUCAAGCUGUAGUUUUUAGUCCUGGCCUUCUUCAUGGCAGGUUCUUUUGCUUUUCUCAUCUCUGGAUGUAAAUCUUGGUGUCUCAGUUGACUCUGGCACUGCUGCCUGUGCUCCCCAUGGCAGAGGAGAUGGGAUUGUGCCUCCUGGCUGAAGGGGCUGUGGCAGACAUGCUGCCUCAUGUCGUUUCCUGUUUGCAGACUUACCUCAGGUAUUUUCAGAUGGGCCAAGAGACUCCUGCCUACAUUGUUCUUCUGCAAAGGAUAUGUGUGGUAUGGGGCUCAGGUGACACAAUCAGGAUCUCCUCAGUGUACUGUUUGACUGGGGCCUUGGAAAAAUAACCAGAUUACUAUCUCCAACUUAUCCUAAACAUGCCUGCCUCCUUUUACAGUUUUUGUUGCACAGUAUUGUUGCCAGGAUGGAUUUAUGCUGGGCCAUUUCCCACUCCAGCUGCGUCAUUACAAUCAUUGUCAUGAGAACACAAAAGCAGCGACUGAAUGCCCUGUGCCUUCCUAAGAACAUAUUUAUCCCAUUGCACUGUUGUGACUUGUGGGGGUGCCAUGGGCUGGCGGCUACUAAAGCAAAGACUUCCUGAUGCUUGAUAUCCAGGGAUCCUCAAAGGCCAGAAUGACUCUUUGCUGUCUCAAGCAGCCUGGCUUGAGUAUGUAAAGCGGAGUUGCCAAGUGAAGAACGAUUCCUGGAGGACAGCAGUGCAGCCAUGUGCCCAUCUGGCCCUAAGGAAGGGUUUGGGGCGGUUUUGGUGCCCGCACCCUCGGCCACGCACAGACCUUCUCUCUCCACCAGACGGCGCUGUUGGACAGGGCACGGCCCGGGGGUGCCACCACGCACCGGGUGACAUCACCAGAGUCCCCUCCCAGUGCCUCAGUUUCCCCAUUUCCCAGUGUUCUGAGACAUGGUGACCAAUGUGACACAGAGCAAC